Molecule: ribosomal RNA, 844 nt
Filed under: uncultured bacterium
Lineage: Bacteria
Description: bacterial SSU rRNA
Rfam family: Bacterial small subunit ribosomal RNA
Source: RNAcentral
CAAGUCGAACGAUGAAGUUCCUUCGGGAAUGGAUUAGUGGCGAACGGGUGAGGAACACGUGAGAAACCUGCCUUUCAUUCUGGGAUAACACCGGGAAACCGGUGCUAAUACCGGAUACUCCGUCUUGGCGGCAUCGCCGAGCCGGGAAAAAAUUUUGAUGAAAGAUGGUCUCGCGGCCUAUCAGCUAGUUGGUGAGGUAAAGGCUCACCAAGGCGACGACGGGUAGCCGGCCUGAGAGGGCGACCGGCCACACUGGGACUGAGACACGGCCCAGACUCCUACGGGAGGCAGCAGUAGGGAAUAUUGGGCAAUGGGCGCAAGCCUGACCCAGCGACGCCGCGUGAGGGAUGAAGGUCUUCGGAUUGUAAACCUCUUUCAGUAGGGAAGAAGCGAAAGUGACGGUACCUAAAGAAGAAGCACCGGCUAACUAUGUGCCAGCAGCCGCGGUAAUACAUAGGGUGCAAGCGUUGUCCGGAAUUAUUGGGCGUAAAGAGCUCGUAGGUCGUUUGUCGCGUCGAUUGUGAAAAUCUGAGGCUCAACCUCAGACCUGCAGUCGAUACGGGCAAAUUAGAGUGUGGUAGGGGAGACUGGAAUUCCUGGUGUAGCGGUGGAAUGCGCAGAUAUCAGGAGGAACACCAAUGGCGAAGGCAGGUCUCUGGGCCAUAACUGACACUGAGGAGCGAAAGUGCGGGGAGCGAACAGGAUUAGAUACCCUGGUAGUCCGCACCGUAAACGGUGGGCACUAGUUGUGGGAACCUUCCACGGUUUCCGCGACGCAGCUAACGCAUUAAGUGCCCCGCCUGGGGAGUACGAUCGCAAGAUUAAAACUCAAAGGAAUUGACGG